Molecule: ribosomal RNA, 800 nt
Filed under: Staphylococcus succinus
Lineage: Bacteria; Bacillati; Bacillota; Bacilli; Caryophanales; Staphylococcaceae
Description: bacterial SSU rRNA
Rfam family: Bacterial small subunit ribosomal RNA
Source: RNAcentral
GUGCCUAUAAUGCAAGUCGAGCGAACGGAUAAGGAGCUUGCUCCUUUGAAGUUAGCGGCGGACGGGUGAGUAACACGUGGGUAACCUACCUAUAAGACUGGAAUAACUUCGGGAAACCGGAGCUAAUGCCGGAUAACAUAUAGAACCGCAUGGUUCUAUAGUGAAAGAUGGUUUUGCUAUCACUUAUAGAUGGACCCGCGCCGUAUUAGCUAGUUGGUAAGGUAAUGGCUUACCAAGGCGACGAUACGUAGCCGACCUGAGAGGGUGAUCGGCCACACUGGAACUGAGACACGGUCCAGACUCCUACGGGAGGCAGCAGUAGGGAAUCUUCCGCAAUGGGCGAAAGCCUGACGGAGCAACGCCGCGUGAGUGAUGAAGGUUUUCGGAUCGUAAAACUCUGUUAUUAGGGAAGAACAAAUGCGUAAGUAACUGUGCGCAUCUUGACGGUACCUAAUCAGAAAGCCACGGCUAACUACGUGCCAGCAGCCGCGGUAAUACGUAGGUGGCAAGCGUUAUCCGGAAUUAUUGGGCGUAAAGCGCGCGUAGGCGGUUUCUUAAGUCUGAUGUGAAAGCCCACGGCUCAACCGUGGAGGGUCAUUGGAAACUGGGAAACUUGAGUGCAGAAGAGGAAAGUGGAAUUCCAUGUGUAGCGGUGAAAUGCGCAGAGAUAUGGAGGAACACCAGUGGCGAAGGCGACUUUCUGGUCUGUAACUGACGCUGAUGUGCGAAAGCGUGGGGAUCAAACAGGAUUAGAUACCCUGGUAGUCCACGCCGUAAACGAUGAGUGCUAAGUGUUAGGG